This 492-nucleotide ribosomal RNA is filed under the name uncultured bacterium. RNAcentral's name for it is "partial 16S ribosomal RNA". It matches the Rfam family "Bacterial small subunit ribosomal RNA", at positions 29 to 507 of the family's 1533-position model. The record is from RNAcentral.
AGUGAACGCUGGCGGUAGGCCUAACACAUGCAAGUCGAACGGCAGCACAGUAAGAGCUUGCUCUUACGGGUGGCGAGUGGCGGACGGGUGAGGAAUACAUCGGAAUCUACUUUUUCCUGGGGGAUAACGUAGGGAAACUUACGCUAAUACCGCAUACGACCUACGGGUGAAAGCAGGGGAUCUUCGGACCUUGCGCGAUUGAAUGAGCCGCUGUCGGAUUAGCUAGUUGGCGGGGUAAAGGCCCACCAAGGCGACGAUCCGUAGCUGGUCUGAGAGGAUGAUCAGCCACACUGGAACUGAGACACGGUCCAGACUCCUACGGGAGGCAGCAGUGGGGAAUAUUGGACAAUGGGCGCAAGCCUGAUCCAGCCAUACCGCGUGGGUGAAGAAGGCCUUCGGGUUGUAAAGCCCUUUUGUUGGGAAAGAAAAGCAGCAGGUUAAUACCCCGCUGUUCUGACGGUACCCAAAGAAUAAGCACCGGCUAACUUCGUG